GUAAACUGCGCAUGCAAAUUUUGAAGCCAAAAUUUGACUCCCAUGAAGCCAAAUUUGACUCCCAGACACGCACUUCCACGCGUGUUUCUACUGCGCGAUUUACUCGCGAGACAAUGCAGGGGGCGCUCGAAGCAUGCCGUUUUGAACGUUUUCAUGGCAGGAUGCAAAUCGAAAGGGAAACGGGCCUUUUCAAUUUAAAACGGGUCUUUUAAAGCCUGUGUACGACCUUGUAGAAUUUAGCUUCAAAUUUCCGCUUGAACGUAGCGUUCCAGUUAUUUUUAGUUCAAUGUUUAAUUAGAGUAUCGCAUUUUCGCAAAAUGGCACGCAUGAUUGUUAUGCCAAAGGACGCAAAACCAGAAGAAGUUCGAGAAUUAUACGACGAUUUUGCAACCACUUAUGAUGAGG
This 405-nucleotide long non-coding RNA is filed under the name Paramuricea clavata. The record is from RNAcentral. Lineage: Eukaryota; Metazoa; Cnidaria; Anthozoa; Malacalcyonacea; Plexauridae.